Molecule: non-coding RNA, 45 nt
Organism: Echinostoma caproni
Lineage: Eukaryota; Metazoa; Platyhelminthes; Trematoda; Plagiorchiida; Echinostomatidae
Source: Rfam
GCACUGUUGACGAGUCCCAAAUAGGACGAAACAGCUGUCCAGUGC